This 253-nucleotide ribosomal RNA is filed under the name uncultured bacterium. Its description in RNAcentral is "partial 16S ribosomal RNA". It matches the Rfam family "Bacterial small subunit ribosomal RNA", at positions 524 to 776 of the family's 1533-position model. The record is from RNAcentral.
UACGAGUUGUGCAAACGUUAUUCGGAAUCACUGGGCUUAAAGGGUGCGUAGGCGGCUACGAAAGUCAGGUGUGAAAUCCCUCGGCUCAACCGAGGAACUGCAUUUGAAACUGUGUAGCUUGAGGGAGACAGAGGUGAGCGGAACUGAUGGUGGAGCGGUGAAAUGCGUAGAUAUCGAGAGGAACACCGGUGGCGAAGGCGAGUCUCUGGGCAAAUCCUGACACUGAGGCACGAAAGCUGGGGGAGCAAACAGG